Non-coding RNA from Notechis scutatus (mainland tiger snake), 447 nucleotides. The record is from RefSeq and is a predicted model, not a curated record. Lineage: Eukaryota; Metazoa; Chordata; Lepidosauria; Squamata; Elapidae.
AGAUGCCGAUUUAAGUCUGUUUUCUCUUGAAAUAAUUUGAGGCAGUGAAGGCACUGCAUGAAAUGGAUUGUUUUUUUUCAUGCCGAUCCAGUUUUGACUUUGGUAUGAGGCUUGAAGAACAGAACCAGCCAGUUUUGGCCUAUGAUAGUCAGUCAUAUCAAGAGAGAUAAUCAUAGGGAAUGUAUGUCCUUGGAAAUGUUCCUUUAGUCAAACACUGAAAAAUUUUCCUACAGAAAGUACAGCACAGUGUCCUGGCUCCUGGAAAAUCCAGAAACAAACCUUCAUGGUCCAAGCCCAGGUCUUCAGAUUGUGCAGUAUUCAUCUAAGACAAUGAGUGUGUGCCUUUGGGUAAAUAUUCAAAGAGCAGAGAACUCUCUUCUCCCAGCAUGUCAGCUUUCAAGGACAAUAAGCUAUUCUUGCUCAUGAGAGCUGCUCGCAAGUUAGCAA